RNAcentral lists this long non-coding RNA (1092 nucleotides) under Drosophila guanche. The record is from RNAcentral. Lineage: Eukaryota; Metazoa; Arthropoda; Insecta; Diptera; Drosophilidae.
CUCAGAAGUGUGCCGGCUUCCUUCUUUUUACGAGUAAGGUAUACACUUGCAGAGGGUCAUAUUCUUUUAACCUUCUAAUGUUGACAAGACAGAGAGAGAGAGGUAAGCGAUUUUGACUUAACUUAUCAUACAGAAUUCCACAUAUGUAUGUAUGUAUGAUCACUGUUCCUUAGUUAGCUUUGCAUCAAAUGUUUGUUUUAUUAUUGAAGGUCUACAGUACAUUCCGCUCUGAACAUUCUGAAAAAAGUAUACACUUUUAUAUUUGGUUGCAUGAGUUUUCCACCACCAAAAUAAGAACGAUCAAAGGGAGUGCAACAUUGGAGCAAGAAAGAGAGAAAGAAAGAGCGAGAGAGAGAGAGGGAAAAAGAGAGGAAGGGCGCGCAUAUGAUGAUAACCGGUUUUCGUUUCCACAUUUGUUUGUUUUUUGUUUUUUUGGGUCGGUGGUCGAUGUCUGGUUUUCCAAAUUUAGAAUGCACCGGCUGAUUGGAGCGUUCGCUUGUCUAUCAACAUAGCUCUUCAUAAGCACUAUUUAUAAAUAAAUAUACAAAUAUAAAAUCUUACAAAAUCAUGGCUACAAUGGAUGAUCAUUUCAGUCGAGUCUUGAGGAAGAAUCCCACCAUCCAAAAUGACCUGCGUGGCAUUUUCAAGAACUCUGAAUGUGACUCUCCAGAGCGGUCAAUCACACUCUCGCAGAUACGUGGCAAGUACCAAAACAACCUUCAAGUAUACAGAAACAUUUUCUAAUUGCAUUUUUCAUAUUGCAGCUGCUUAUGGCGAGAGAACCGGCAAUGAAUUUCCCAUCAAGGGUGGCACGCGCACGCAAAUGUGUUUCAUUUUGACAGUGCCAUAUAUCUGCUGUUUUACCAGUCGAAUUGGCACAUUGCGCUUCUAUACGAUUGACAUUAAUCAGGAGAGAUAGAAGUUACUUCUGCAACUGUACUCGUUCAGGAAAGCAUCUAGUCAUUUGAGUGCAAUUUUUGUAUAGCAGUAAGAAAAUUCUAAAAAGUAAUUGUCUAAAUGGAAAACUUAACUAAAUUUACCUCUAAUGUAAAUUGCCUUAAAUAUGAAUAAACAUGUCUCUGACCAGUGUAA